GUGAACGCUGGCGGUAGGCCUAACACAUGCAAGUCGAACGGCAGCACAGUAAGAGCUUGCUCUUACGGGUGGCGAGUGGCGGACGGGUGAGGAAUACAUCGGAAUCUACUUUUUCGUGGGGGAUAACGUAGGGAAACUUACGCUAAUACCGCAUACGACCUACGGGUGAAAGCAGGGGAUCUUCGGACCUUGCGCGAUUGAAUGAGCCGAUGUCGGAUUAGCUAGUUGGCGGGGUAAAGGCCCACCAAGGCGACGAUCCGUAGCUGGUCUGAGAGGAUGAUCAGCCACACUGGAACUGAGACACGGUCCAGACUCCUACUGGAGGCAGCAGUGGGGAAUAUUGGACAAUGGGCGCAAGCCUGAUCCAGCCAUACCGCGUGGGUGAAGAAGGCCUUCGGGUUGUAAAGCCCUUUUGUUGGGAAAGAAAAGCAGCAGGUUAAUACCCCGCUGUUCUGACGGUACCCAAAGAAUAAGCACCGGCUAACUUCGUG
RNAcentral lists this ribosomal RNA (491 nucleotides) under uncultured bacterium. Its description in RNAcentral is "partial 16S ribosomal RNA". It matches the Rfam family "Bacterial small subunit ribosomal RNA", at positions 29 to 507 of the family's 1533-position model. The record is from RNAcentral.